GUAGGGAAUCUUGCGCAAUGGGCGAAAGCCUGACGCAGCCAUGCCGCGUGAAUGAUGAAGGUCUUAGGAUUGUAAAAUUCUUUCACCGGGGACGAUAAUGACGGUACCCGGAGAAGAAGCCCCGGCUAACUUCGUGCCAGCAGCCGCGGUAAUACGAAGGGGGCUAGCGUUGCUCGGAAUUACUGGGCGUAAAGGGAGCGUAGGCGGAUAGUUUAGUCAGAGGUGAAAGCCCAGGGCUCAACCUUGGAAUUGCCUUUGAUACUGGCUAUCUUGAGUAUGGAAGAGGUAUGUGGAACUCCGAGUGUAGAGGUGAAAUUCGUAGAUAUUCGGAAGAACACCAGUGGCGAAGGCGACUCACUGGCCCGUUACUGACGCUGAGGCGCGAAAGCGUGGGGAGCAAACAGGAUUAGAUACCCCAGUAGUCC
This 425-nucleotide ribosomal RNA is filed under the name uncultured bacterium. RNAcentral's name for it is "partial 16S ribosomal RNA". It matches the Rfam family "Bacterial small subunit ribosomal RNA", at positions 354 to 796 of the family's 1533-position model. The record is from RNAcentral.